AUUGAACGCUGGCGGCAUGCCUUACACAUGCAAGUCGAACGGCAGCGCGGGAGCAAUCCCGGUGGCGAGUGGCGAACGGGUGAGUAAAGUAUCGGAACGUGCCCAGUCGUGGGGGAUAACGUAGCGAAAGUUACGCUAAUACCGCAUACGAUCUAUGGAUGAAAGCGGGGGAUCGCAAGACCUUGCGCGAUUGGAGCGGCCGAUAACAGAUUAGGUAGUUGGGGGGGUAAAGGCUCACCAAGCCGACGAUCUGUAGCUGGUCUGAGAGGACGACCAGCCACACUGGGACUGAGACACGGCCCAGACUCCUACGGGAGGCAGCAGUGGGGAAUUUUGGACAAUGGGCGAAAGCCUGAUCCAGCCAUGCCGCGUGCAGGAUGAAGGCCUUCGGGUUGUAAACUGCUUUUGUACGGAACGAAAAGGUUUGGCCUAAUAAGCUGAGCUCAUGACGGUACCGUAAGAAUAAGCACCGGCUAACUACGUGCCAGCCGCCGCCGUAA
RNAcentral lists this ribosomal RNA (500 nucleotides) under uncultured bacterium. RNAcentral describes it as "partial 16S ribosomal RNA". It matches the Rfam family "Bacterial small subunit ribosomal RNA", at positions 30 to 523 of the family's 1533-position model. The record is from RNAcentral.